GACGAACGCUGGCGGCGUGCUUAACACAUGCAAGUCGAACGGGUCUGCCCUGUUUUUUGCGGGGUGGGUCAGUGGCGAACGGGUGAGUAACACGUGAGUAACCUGCCCCUCACUUCUGGAUAACCGCUUGAAAGGGUGGCUAAUACGGGGUGUUCUGGCUGUGCCGCAUGGUGUGGCUGGGAAAGAUUCACUUUUGUGGUGUUUUGGUGGGGGAUGGGCUCGCGGCCUAUCAGCUUGUUGGUGGGGUGAUGGCCUGCCAAGGCUUUGACGGGUAUCCGGCCUGAGGGGGUGGGCGGUCACACUGGGACUGAGAUACGGCCCAGACUCCUGCGGGAGGCAGCAGUGGGGGGUAUUGCACAAUGGGCGGAAGCCUGAUGCAGCGACGUCGCGUGAGGGAUGGAGGCCUUCGGGUUGUGAACCUCUUUCGCCGGUGAAGAAGGUCCUGCUCUUUGUGGUGGGGUGGACGGUAGCCGGGUUAUGAAGCGCCGGCUAACUACG
This 498-nucleotide ribosomal RNA is filed under the name uncultured bacterium. RNAcentral's name for it is "partial 16S ribosomal RNA". It matches the Rfam family "Bacterial small subunit ribosomal RNA", at positions 28 to 505 of the family's 1533-position model. The record is from RNAcentral.